This 484-nucleotide ribosomal RNA is filed under the name uncultured bacterium. RNAcentral describes it as "partial 16S ribosomal RNA". It matches the Rfam family "Bacterial small subunit ribosomal RNA", at positions 28 to 523 of the family's 1533-position model. The record is from RNAcentral.
GAUGAACGCUGGCGGCGUGCUUAACACAUGCAAGUCGAACGAUGAAGCCGGAGCUUGCUCUGGUGAAUUAGUGGCGAACGGGUGAGUAACACGUGAGUAACCUGCCCUUGACUCUGGGAUAACUGCUAGAAAUGGUAGCUAAUACCGGAUACGACCCUCGGAGGCAUCUCCAGGGGGGGGCAAGAAUUUCGGUCAAGGAAGGACUCGCGGCCUAUCAGCUAGUUGGUGAGGUAAUGGCUCACCAAGGCGACGACGGGUAGCCGGCCUGAGAGGGUGACCGGCCACACUGGGACUGAGACACGGCCCAGACUCCUACGGGAGGCAGCAGUGGAGAAUAUUGCACAAUGGGCGCAAGCCUGAUGCAGCAACGCCGCGUGAGGGAUGACGGCCUUCGGGUUGUAAACCUCUUUUAGUAGGGAAGAAGCGAAAGUGACGGUACCUGCAGAAAAAGCACCGGCUAACUACGUGCCAGCCGCCGCGGUAA